Molecule: ribosomal RNA, 468 nt
Filed under: uncultured bacterium
Lineage: Bacteria
Description: partial 16S ribosomal RNA
Rfam family: Bacterial small subunit ribosomal RNA
Source: RNAcentral
GACGAACGCUGGCGGCGUGCUUAACACAUGCAAGUCGAACGGAAAGGCCCUGCUUUUGUGGGGUGCUCGAGUGGCGAACGGGUGAGUAACACGUGAGUAACCUGCCCUUGACUUUGGGAUAACUUCAGGAAACUGGGGCUAAUACCGGAUAGGAGCUCCUGCUGCAUGGUGGGGGUUGGAAAGUUUCGGCGGUUGGGGAUGGACUCGCGGCUUAUCAGCUUGUUGGUGGGGUAGUGGCUUACCAAGGCUUUGACGGGUAGCCGGCCUGAGAGGGUGACCGGCCACAUUGGGACUGAGAUACGGCCCAGACUCCUACGGGAGGCAGCAGUGGGGAAUAUUGCACAAUGGGCGGAAGCCUGAUGCAGCAACGCCGCGUGCGGGAUGACGGCCUUUGGGUUGUAAACCGCUUUCGCCUGUGACGAAGCUUGAGUGACGGUAAUGGGUAAAGAAGCACCGGCUAACUACGUG